GAUGAACGCUGGCGGCGUGCCUAAUACAUGCAAGUCGAGCGAACAGACGAGGAGCUUGCUCCUCUGACGUUAGCGGCGGACGGGUGAGUAACACGUGGAUAACCUACCUAUAAGACUGGGAUAACUUCGGGAAACCGGAGCUAAUACCGGAUAAUAUAUUGAACCGCAUGGUUCAAUAGUGAAAGACGGUUUUGCUGUCACUUAUAGAUGGAUCCGCGCCGCAUUAGCUAGUUGGUAAGGUAACGGCUUACCAAGGCAACAAUGCGUAGCCGACCUGCGGGGGUAGUCGCCCACAGUAGGACGGGUACGGCGUCAAGGCACGGCGGGGAGAAGAGGGUAGGAACUCUACCACGAGGGGAAAAGGUGUGAGGGAGAAACGUCGGGGGGGUGAUAAAGGUUGAGGUAUCGAAAAACUGUGUAUUAAGGGAAAAAAAAAUGUGAAAGUAACUCGGCACGUCUUGACGAUACAUAAUAAGAAAGCCAGGGCAAACUACGUG
This 497-nucleotide ribosomal RNA is filed under the name uncultured bacterium. RNAcentral's name for it is "partial 16S ribosomal RNA". It matches the Rfam family "Bacterial small subunit ribosomal RNA", at positions 28 to 507 of the family's 1533-position model. The record is from RNAcentral.